GUAGGGUGCGGGCGUUAAUCGGAAUUACUGGGCGUAAAGCGUGCGCAGGCGGCUCCCCAAGUCAGAUGUGAAAUCCCCGGGCUUAACCUGGGAACUGCGUUUGAAACUAGGGAGCUUGAGUGUGGAAGAGGGGGGUGGAAUUCCAGGUGUAGCAGUGAAAUGCGUAGAGAUCUGGAGGAACACCGAUGGCGAAGGCAGCCCCCUGGGCUAACACUGACGCUCAUGCACGAAAGCGUGGGGAGCAAACAGGAUUAGAUACCCUGGUAGUCCACGCCCUAAACGAUGUCAACUGGUUGUCGGGGAAGCAAUUCCUUGGUAACGAAGCUAACGCGUGAAGUUGACCGCCUGGGGAGUACGGCCGCAAGGUUA
Molecule: ribosomal RNA, 369 nt
Filed under: uncultured bacterium
Lineage: Bacteria
Description: bacterial SSU rRNA
Rfam family: Bacterial small subunit ribosomal RNA
Source: RNAcentral